GGAGGAUGCUCCAGACUAUUCAAGGUCUUCGUUUGAACUAUCUUGGAAACAAUACAUAUCUUGCCCAAAUUUAGAUACAGUCAACUCUCUUUAUGAGAAUUUGGGAAGCCCAAACUAUAAAUCCUGAAAUUUUAAAGCACAUAGAUAAGUUUGCCUCCGAGGAAGUCCACGACUUCUAAAUAACUGAUGAUGGAUUGUACCAAUUCUGAGAUUGAAUAGAGGUACCUAGCAACUCUGAGCUCAUAUUGGAUGUUCUGAAGGAUACUCAUGCAUUUAAGUUGUCUAUCCACC
This 291-nucleotide long non-coding RNA is filed under the name Carica papaya (papaya). Its description in RNAcentral is "long non-coding RNA (CPAP_LNC014440)". The record is from RNAcentral. Lineage: Eukaryota; Viridiplantae; Streptophyta; Magnoliopsida; Brassicales; Caricaceae.